CCUACGGGUGGCAGCAGUGGGGAAUAUUGGACAAUGGGCGAAAGCCUGAUCCAGCCAUGCCGCGUGUGUGAAGAAGGCCUUCGGGUUGUAAAGCACUUUCAGUGGGGAAGAAAGCCUUGGGGCUAAUACCCUCGAGGAAGGACAUCACCCACAGAAGAAGCACCGGCUAACUCCGUGCCAGCAGCCGCGGUAAUACGGAGGGUGCGAGCGUUAAUCGGAAUUACUGGGCGUAAAGCGCGCGUAGGCGGUCUGAUAAGCCGGUUGUGAAAGCCCCGGGCUCAACCUGGGAACGGCAUCCGGAACUGUCAGGCUAGAGUGCAGGAGAGGAAGGUAGAAUUCCCGGUGUAGCGAUGAAAUGCGUAGAGAUCGGGAGGAAUACCAGUGGCGAAGGCGGCCUUCUGGACUGACACUGACGCUGAGGUGCGAAAGCGUGGGUAGCAAACAGGAUUAGAUACCCCAGUAGUC
This 465-nucleotide ribosomal RNA is filed under the name Vreelandella stevensii. Its description in RNAcentral is "partial 16S ribosomal RNA". It matches the Rfam family "Bacterial small subunit ribosomal RNA", at positions 338 to 795 of the family's 1533-position model. The record is from RNAcentral. Lineage: Bacteria; Pseudomonadati; Pseudomonadota; Gammaproteobacteria; Oceanospirillales; Halomonadaceae.